Molecule: ribosomal RNA, 324 nt
Filed under: uncultured bacterium
Lineage: Bacteria
Description: bacterial SSU rRNA
Rfam family: Bacterial small subunit ribosomal RNA
Source: RNAcentral
AGACCGGAGGAAGGUGGGGAUGACGUCAAGUCAUCAUGGCCCUUAUGACCAGGGCUACACACGUGCUACAAUGGUCGGUACAGAGGGUCGCCAACCCGCGAGGGGGAGCCAAUCCCUUAAAACCGAUCGUAGUCCGGAUCGCAGUCUGCAACUCGACUGCGUGAAGUCGGAAUCGCUAGUAAUCGCGAAUCAGCCAUGUCGCGGUGAAUACGCUCCCGGGUCUUGUACACACCGCCCGUCACACCAUGGAAGUUGAUUGCACCAGAAGUAGGUAGCCUAACCGCAAGGAGGGCGCUUACCACGGUGUGCUCAAUGACUGGGGUG